GACGAACGCUGGCGGCGUGCUUAACACAUGCAAGUCGAACGGAAAGGCCCUGCUUUUGUGGGGUGCUCGAGUGGCGAACGGGUGAGUAACACGUGAGUAACCUGCCCUUGACUUUGGGAUAACUUCAGGAAACUGGGGCUAAUACCGGAUAGGAGCUCCUGCUGCAUGGUGGGGGUUGGAAAGUUUCGGCGGUUGGGGCUGGACUCGCGGCUUAUCAGCUUGUUGGUGGGGUAGUGGCUUACCAAGGCUUUGACGGGUAGCCGGCCUGAGAGGGUGACCGGCCACAUGGGGACUGAGAUACGCCCCAGACUCCUACGGGAGGCAGCAGUGGGGAAUAUUGCACAGUGGGCGGAAGCCUGAUGCAGCAACGCCGCGUGCGGGAUGACGGCCUUCGGGUUGUAAACCGCUUUCGCCUGUGACGAAGCGUGAGUGACGGUAAUGGGUAAAGAAGCACCGGCUAACUACGUG
RNAcentral lists this ribosomal RNA (468 nucleotides) under uncultured bacterium. RNAcentral describes it as "partial 16S ribosomal RNA". It matches the Rfam family "Bacterial small subunit ribosomal RNA", at positions 28 to 507 of the family's 1533-position model. The record is from RNAcentral.